ACAUCGGUAGCACAGUGGUCAGUGCAGUGUGCCGGUGACAGAAAGACGCGGGUUCAAUUCCCGUCCGAUGUC
Non-coding RNA from Nippostrongylus brasiliensis, 72 nucleotides. The record is from Rfam. Lineage: Eukaryota; Metazoa; Nematoda; Chromadorea; Rhabditida; Heligmosomidae.